AUUGAACGCUGGCGGCAGGCCUAACACAUGCAAGUCGAGCGGAUGAAGGGAGCUUGCUCCUGGAUUCAGCGGCGGACGGGUGAGUAAUGCCUAGGAAUCUGCCUGGUAGUGGGGGAUAACGUCCGGAAACGGGCGCUAAUACCGCAUACGUCCUGAGGGAGAAAGUGGGGGAUCUUCGGACCUCACGCUAUCAGAUGAGCCUAGGUCGGAUUAGCUAAUUGGUGGGGUAAAGGCCUACCAAGGCGACGAUCCGUAACUGGUAUGAGAGGAUGAUCAGUCACACUGGAACUGAGACACGGUCCAGACUCCUACGGGAGGCAGCAGUGGGGAAUAUUGGACAAUGGGCGAAAGCCUGAUCCAGCCAUGCCGCGUGUGUGAAGAAGGUCUUCGGAUUGUAAAGCACUUUAAGUUGGGAGGAAGGGCAGUAAGUUAAUACCUUGCUGUUUUGACGUUACCAACAGAAUAAGCACCGGCUAACUUCGUG
RNAcentral lists this ribosomal RNA (484 nucleotides) under uncultured bacterium. RNAcentral describes it as "partial 16S ribosomal RNA". It matches the Rfam family "Bacterial small subunit ribosomal RNA", at positions 30 to 507 of the family's 1533-position model. The record is from RNAcentral.